Molecule: ribosomal RNA, 661 nt
Filed under: uncultured Thecofilosea
Lineage: Eukaryota; Cercozoa; Thecofilosea
Description: SSU rRNA
Rfam family: Eukaryotic small subunit ribosomal RNA
Source: RNAcentral
UUUUAGGUCGGGUAAUUGGAAUGAGUACAAUUUAAAUCCCUUAACGAGGACCUAUUGGAGGGCAAGUCUGGUGCCAGCAGCCGCGGUAAUUCCAGCUCCAAGAGCAUAUAUUAAAGUUGUUGCAGUUAAAAAGCUCGUAGUUGGAUUUCUGGUAUAAUGCGCCUGGCCCGCGGCUAUUUAAGCCUGUGAGUGCCGGUGUGCGUUUGCCAUCCUUCUAGAAAACGUUUCUACCCUUAACUGGGCCGGACUCGCGAUCUAGAUCUUUUACUUUGAAAAAAUUAGAGUGUUUAAAGCAGGCUUUUGCUAUGAAUACAUUAGCAUGGAAUAAUAAUCUAGGACUUCGGUUCUAUUUUGUUGGUUUCUAGUACUGAAGUAAUGAUUGAUAGGGAUAGUUGGGGGUGCUAGUAUUGGCCGGCCAGAGGUGAAAUUCUUGGAUUCGGUCAAGACUAACUUAUGCGAAAGCAUUCACCAAGGAUGUCUUCUUUAAUCAAGAACGAAAGUUGGGGGAUCGAAGAGGAUCAGAUACCCUCGUAGUCUCAACCAUAAACUAUGCCAACUAGGGAUGGGUGAAAGUUGCAUUUUCGACUUCAUCCGCACCUUAUGAGAAAUCAAAGUCUUUGGGUUCCNGGGGGAGUAUGGUCGCAAGGCUGAAACUUAAAGG